This 1102-nucleotide ribosomal RNA is filed under the name Serratia marcescens. RNAcentral's name for it is "partial 23S ribosomal RNA". It matches the Rfam family "Bacterial large subunit ribosomal RNA", at positions 563 to 1668 of the family's 2925-position model. Lineage: Bacteria; Pseudomonadati; Pseudomonadota; Gammaproteobacteria; Enterobacterales; Yersiniaceae. The record is from RNAcentral.
CGUACAAGCAGUGGGAGCCUACUUGUUAGGUGACUGCGUACCUUUUGUAUAAUGGGUCAGCGACUUAUAUUCAGUGGCAAGCUUAACCGUAUAGGGUAGGCGUAGCGAAAGCGAGUCUUAAUAGGGCGUUUAGUCGCUGGGUAUAGACCCGAAACCGGGCGAUCUAUCCAUGAGCAGGUUGAAGGUUAGGUAACACUGACUGGAGGACCGAACCCACUCCCGUUGAAAAGGUAGGGGAUGACUUGUGGAUCGGAGUGAAAGGCUAAUCAAGCUCGGAGAUAGCUGGUUCUCCUCGAAAGCUAUUUAGGUAGCGCCUCAUGUAUCACUCUGGGGGGUAGAGCACUGUUUCGGCUAGGGGGUCAUCCCGACUUACCAAACCGAUGCAAACUCCGAAUACCCAGAAGUGCCGAGCAUGGGAGACACACGGCGGGUGCUAACGUCCGUCGUGAAAAGGGAAACAACCCAGACCGCCAGCUAAGGUCCCAAAGUUGUGGUUAAGUGGUAAACGAUGUGGGAAGGCUUAGACAGCUAGGAGGUUGGCUUAGAAGCAGCCAUCCUUUAAAGAAAGCGUAAUAGCUCACUAGUCGAGUCGGCCUGCGCGGAAGAUGUAACGGGGCUCAAACCACACACCGAAGCUGCGGGUGUCACGUAAGUGACGCGGUAGAGGAGCGUUCUGUAAGCCUGUGAAGGUGAGUUGAGAAGCUUGCUGGAGGUAUCAGAAGUGCGAAUGCUGACAUGAGUAACGACAAUGGGUGUGAAAAACACCCACGCCGAAAGACCAAGGGUUCCUGCGCAACGUUAAUCGACGCAGGGUUAGUCGGUUCCUAAGGCGAGGCUGAAAAGCGUAGUCGAUGGGAAACAGGUUAAUAUUCCUGUACUUCUGGUUACUGCGAUGGAGGGACGGAGAAGGCUAGGCCAGCUUGGCGUUGGUUGUCCAAGUUUAAGGUGGUAGGCUGAAAUCUUAGGUAAAUCCGGGGUUUCAAGGCCGAGAGCUGAUGACGAGUCGUCUUUUAGAUGACGAAGUGGUUGAUGCCAUGCUUCCAAGAAAAGCUUCUAAGCUUCAGGUAACCAGGAACCGUACCCCAAACCGACACAGGUGGUC